GACGAACGCUGGCGGCGUGCCUAAUACAUGCAAGUAGAACGCUGAAGAGAGGAGCUUGCUCUUCUUGGAUGAGUUGCGAACGGGUGAGUAACGCGUAGGUAACCUGCCUUGUAGCGGGGGAUAACUAUUGGAAACGAUAGCUAAUACCGCAUAACAAUGGAUGAAAAAUGUCAUUUAUUUGAAAGGGGCAAUUGCUCCACUACAAGAUGGACUGCGUUGUUUUAGCUAGUAGGGGAGGUAAUGGCUCACCUAGGCGACGAUACAUAGCCGACCUGGGAGGGUGAUCGGCCACACUGGGACUGAGACACGGCCCAGACUCCUACGGGAGGCAGCAGUAGGGAAUCUUCGGCAAUGGGGGCAACCCUGACCGAGCAACGCCGCGUGAGUGAAGAAGGUUUUCGGAUCGUAAAGCUCUGUUGUAAGUCAAGAACGGGUGUGAGAGUGGAAAGUUCACACUGUGACGGUAGCUUACCAGAAAGGGACGGCUAACUACGUG
RNAcentral lists this ribosomal RNA (496 nucleotides) under uncultured bacterium. Its description in RNAcentral is "partial 16S ribosomal RNA". It matches the Rfam family "Bacterial small subunit ribosomal RNA", at positions 28 to 507 of the family's 1533-position model. The record is from RNAcentral.